UGGGGAAUCAUGGUCAAUGGGCGAAAGCCUGAACCUGCGACGCCGCGUGAGUGAUGAAGGUCGUAAGAUCGUAAAACUCUUUUCAGGGAUCUUAAAGCACAGCUGUCAACAACAGCUGUGUGUGACUCUCCCUGGAAGAAGCCCCAGCCAACUACGUGCCAGCAGCUGCGGUAAUACGUAGGGGGCGAGCGUUAUUCGGAAUUACUGGGUGUAAAGGGUAUGUAGGCGGCACUUCAAGUCGCGUGUCAAAGUCCAGUGCUCAACGCUGGGUGUAAGGGGU
RNAcentral lists this ribosomal RNA (280 nucleotides) under uncultured prokaryote. RNAcentral describes it as "partial 16S ribosomal RNA". It matches the Rfam family "Bacterial small subunit ribosomal RNA", at positions 355 to 631 of the family's 1533-position model. The record is from RNAcentral.